RNAcentral lists this long non-coding RNA (590 nucleotides) under Phasianus colchicus (ring-necked pheasant). RNAcentral describes it as "lncRNA (ENSPCLG00000012816.1)". The record is from RNAcentral. Lineage: Eukaryota; Metazoa; Chordata; Aves; Galliformes; Phasianidae.
UGAAACUGCAAGGCUGUUUUACAUGCCUUUUUGUCCUCUUUUGCACAAGGAGCCUCUGCAUUUGAAUCCCUUAACGCCCCACAGCUGUCAUGCUAGCAAGACCCAGGAAACUUUAGUAUUUCAGCCACUCUGCCUCCAGCGGCUGAUCUGUUUGAAGGCUGAGGGUAUAGGGGAAAAGCUGCUGGACUUCAAGGACACGAUGAAAUUUGGAUGUCUUAUGAAGAAAAUUUCUGAAGGAAAAUAUUUUUCUUCUAAAGGAGCAGCACAGCCCGUGCUAUCUGUGCUGUUUGGAAUGACGCAGCAGUAGCACGAGUGAGAAAAGGCUGCUAAGACUUGUCUGCAUGAAGUUGCCGUGCCCCUGUGCUCAUGUCCCCCAAAUGCCCUUUGAUUGGUCUCUGAAUGACCCCGGCUCUGUGUUAAUGUCUGGCAUGCAGUUCCGCAAUUAAAAUGUGUGGCCUGACAUCAGUUCCGAAUUUGUCUUGCCUUCAAUUUUUCAUGUCCACCCAAUUCAUUCUUUUGUCCUCUUAUCCUUCACUGCGUCAUGUAAGCAUAUGCUUUAUUCUUUGGUUGCUCUCAGUGCAAAGUUUGCA